This is a non-coding RNA of Cricetulus griseus (Chinese hamster), 45 nucleotides long. Lineage: Eukaryota; Metazoa; Chordata; Mammalia; Rodentia; Cricetidae. The record is from Rfam.
CAAAAGGCUCUUUUCAGAGCCACCACUCCCACUUAAAGAGCUGUG